This 628-nucleotide long non-coding RNA is filed under the name Bos mutus (wild yak). RNAcentral describes it as "lncRNA (ENSBMUG00000001774.1)". Lineage: Eukaryota; Metazoa; Chordata; Mammalia; Artiodactyla; Bovidae. The record is from RNAcentral.
GGGGGGGAGGGGAGCGGUGGGCCAGGUGGGAGGCAGGCGGACGAAGGAAUGCACGGCUCGCUGCUUCCUCCGGACCCUCAAAGUCUCCCUACGGCCGAACGCUUGGGGUUUAUUUAUUUAUUUUUUUACGAGUUUCGGGACGGAAAAUUAACGAGAGAGCGCCCAGCAGCCCUCUCCUUCCACCUCUUUGCGACUUCCAGGGAAACUACAAGACUUUCCCCGAGAGGAAGGGGAUGUGGGGAGGCUCCCUUCGGAAGCAAAAGGUCUUCCUUGUGUACACCCAGGAAGCCAGGCUUCACCGAUGACAAAGGGAAGACCCCGCUUGCUCCCUUUGUUCAGCCUCACUCCAUUCCUCAGGAAGUGAUCCCACAGGGCAAGCUUUGCCCUAUUCCAGGUGAGAUGGGCCAUCCUAGUGUGUAAGCUUAAGGUUAUACUUCUGAAUGCUGGGAAAAAGAUAGGACUAAAACUAAUCUCUCACGCUACUGAGUGAAGGAGCUUUGUUUUCAGAUCAGAUCAGUCGCUCAGUCGUGUCCGACUCCUUGCAACCCCAUGAAUCGCAGCAGGCCAGGCCUCCCUGUCCAACACCAACUCCCGGAGUUCACUGAGACUCACGUCUAUCGAGUCAGCG